Molecule: ribosomal RNA, 466 nt
Filed under: uncultured Alphaproteobacteria bacterium
Lineage: Bacteria; Pseudomonadati; Pseudomonadota; Alphaproteobacteria
Description: bacterial SSU rRNA
Rfam family: Bacterial small subunit ribosomal RNA
Source: RNAcentral
GAGUUUGAUCCUGGCUCAGAACGAACGCUGGCGGCAGGCUUAACACAUGCAAGUCAAACGCAUCCUUCGGGGUGAGUGGCAGACGGGUGAGUAACGCGUGGGAACGUGCCCUUCAGUUCGGAAUAACCCAGGGAAACUUGGGCUAAUACCGGAUACGUGCGAGAGCAGAAAGAUUUAUCGCUGAAGGAUCGGCCCGCGUCUGAUUAGCUGGUUGGUGAGGUAAUGGCUCACCAAGGCGACGAUCAGUAGCUGGUCUGAGAGGAUGAUCAGCCACAUUGGGACUGAGACACGGCCCAAACUCCUACGGGAGGCAGCAGUGGGGAAUAUUGGACAAUGGGCGCAAGCCUGAUCCAGCCAUGCCGCGUGAGUGAUGAAGGCCUUAGGGCUGUAAAGCUCUUUCGUCCGGGACGAUAAUGACGGUACCGGAAGAAGAAGCCCCGGCUAACUUCGUGCCAGCAGCCGCCGU